CACGUGUGCCACUUCAGAUGCGGAGCUCUUGAACAUACUGCAUCUUCUGCUGCAUCUUUUCGCUAUCCCAAUGACCUCUGAAGUCCUUGUGCAAACUCAGCAGCCACAGUUUCUUAAGAGAACGAAGGGAUUCAAUACCUUGGGGGACCUUGUCGAGCUUUAGAAGUGACACAACAUAUAAACCCUCAAUCUGUUGAAGGGCACCGACUUUGAUCUCCACCUUGUCAACAUUGGGCAUGCGCUUCAAGACAAGCGUCUUCAGCUGUGGGAAGCACCCUUUAGAAAGAACUAAGGUGUCUGCAGUACUCACCCUGUUAAGACUAAGAUAGGUGAGAUUCGGCACGUAAGGUGCAAGCAGCUGCAGUGGAUCUUCCUGAAGGUGGCACCAGCUAAUAGCUAGAUAUUUGAGAUUUCUGCCACUGUCACGGAAUACAGGGCACUCAAGUGUCUUAUCUGCCCAGCACCCUCUGAUUAUCAAUCUGUGGAAGUUUUCAGAUGCUGGCUUCAGAUCUUCCAAAUGAAGUGUCUCGUUCUCAUCACUUGCAGAGAGAAGCAAGCUGGAAAGAAGAGGCAUCUUUGACAGUAUAGAGAAAAGGUUUGCGCAAUCCGCUGCACUUAUGUUGUCAAUCCACACACUCCUUAGUUUCGUAAGUUUUAUCAGCUGCUCAGCCAGGUCCUUGUUGGCUUCCACAGUUUCUAGAGUCUGAAGUUCUUCCAAGUUGGAUAGCUCUUUUGGUGCUUGCACUCCAAUGAAGUACCGGAACUCUGACUGCUUCUCAUCUGCAAAUCUGUCUGCCAGAAGGUGCCGUAACUUCUUGAUUUUAACAACACCUCUUGGUAGCUUCUCUAUUUUUGUUGCCUUUAUGUCCAGUGUUUGGAGGUUGGAGAGCUUUCCAAUCGAAUCUGGGAGUGAUUUAACUCUUGUGCGACGCAGACCAAUGUAGCGUAGAUUAAACAUAUUUCCUAUGGAUGCUGGCACUUCACUUAUUUCAGAAUCUUGCAACUCUAGAACUGUCAGGUACGUGGAUUCAGAAAGAACUGAAGAUAACAACUGAGGGGAGGAUCCAAUUAUUCCGAGUGCAACUGCGGUUCUAAGGCGUGGCAGUUGAAUUUUAACUUUCAGUGAAGUUUUGUCCUGCCAUCCACAGGAAGACAGGCGACGAACACCCUUGUCCAUCUUCACCAAUGUGCCAAAAUCAUACGCAAAACCAAACUUCUCCUCUUUAGCAACAGAAAGUGCCAGGUCACGCACAAGGUCAUGCAUCUUACAGGUGUGGACCCUUCCUAGCUCAUCGUUCUCAACAGCUUCCAGCAUAUUCCUUUGGAUCAGUUCCCUUAGGUAUCUGUCGGCCACCUCCUCUGGUGUGCUUUGUUCAUUUUGAAGCGCAAAACCUUCUGCAACCCAUAGCCAAACAAGGCUCUCUCGUGACAUUAGGUGAUCCUCAGGGAACAAGCUACAAUAAAAGAAGCAGUUUCUA
This 1478-nucleotide long non-coding RNA is filed under the name Setaria viridis. RNAcentral describes it as "long non-coding RNA (SVIR_LNC008987)". The record is from RNAcentral. Lineage: Eukaryota; Viridiplantae; Streptophyta; Magnoliopsida; Poales; Poaceae.